This 326-nucleotide ribosomal RNA is filed under the name uncultured Bacteroidota bacterium. RNAcentral's name for it is "bacterial SSU rRNA". It matches the Rfam family "Bacterial small subunit ribosomal RNA", at positions 28 to 351 of the family's 1533-position model. Lineage: Bacteria; Pseudomonadati; Bacteroidota. The record is from RNAcentral.
GAUGAACGCUAGCGGGAGGCUUAACACAUGCAAGUCGUGGGGCAGCACGAGGUAGCAAUACUUUGGUGGCGACCGGCGCACGGGUGAGUAACACGUAUGCAACCUACCCUUUACAGGGGGAUAGCCCGGAGAAAUUCGGACUAAUACCGCAUAAAGAUAUUUAAAGGCAUCUUUAGAUAUUUAAAGUUCAGACGGUACGGGUGGCAUGCGUAACAUUAGCUAGUUGGUAAGGUAACGGCUUACCAAGGCCACGAUGUUUAGGGGUCCUGAGAGGGUGAUCCCCCACACUGGUACUGAGACACGGACCAGACACCUACGGGUGGCUG